Anguilla rostrata (American eel) is the source of this 2022-nucleotide long non-coding RNA. RefSeq lists it as uncharacterized. The transcript has 2 exons. NCBI's taxonomy places the organism in Eukaryota, Metazoa, Chordata, Actinopteri, Anguilliformes, Anguillidae. The record is from RefSeq and is a predicted model, not a curated record.
UAAUUCUUUAAAUGUCUUCAGGGACCAUGCCUUCUGUUUAAGACAUUCUGUUAUAAUUUUAGUCUACCCUAAAAUGCUAAUAGUCUCAGAAGUUCUGACUGGUUAAAACCAGUUGCACACCCGUUGGUGAUUUCACAUAGGUUACAAGCAGGAUUGUGGUGAGCUGAAGGGAGGCUGUUUGUAAGAGCUGAUUUCUUUUGUGAAAGACAGCAGUUUAAAAACAAAAGAGCAAACUUUGGACUACAGGAGAGAUCAGAAGUACAACGGGCAUAGACGUACACGCUUUUACCUCAGGUGUGGGGCGGAGCAUUUUGUGCAGGUUAUGCUACCGUAGCCUACUGCAGUGGUGCCCAACAAUGUGUCAUGGAGGGCCAAGAGAGUGCACGUUUUCAUUCCAACCAAUCACUUCACCUAAUGAUUUCACUAAUUAGUCCCCUCCUCUCUGGUUGAAGGUGCAGUAUUAUAUUAGUGAAAUCAGCAGGUGUAGUGAUUGUUUGGAAUGAGACCUGCAUACACUCAGCCUUCCAUGGCCGAUGGAUUGGACACCACUGACCUACAGCUUGGUGGUUAUUAGGUAGCAGUUUUUCUAAAUGCGCUUUACCAUAAGAGCUGUAUAAGUUUACUGCUCGGCUUAAUUCGGUGGAGAAGGGUAAGAUGUCUGUUGCCGGACAGACUGCCGAAAGUUCUGAAGACAAGAAGCUGGCCCCAUGGCAGAGCCUGACUGUGUCACACCAGGGCUGGGAAAGUGGGGCUGGGAGCUCAUUCCAUCGCCCAGUAUGGAUUCCGGAACAUUCAGAGCUGAGCCAAGUUGGCAGGGCUACAGUCGGUCAGAAAGCCGCAUGAACCAGCACCCUAUUUUCCCGGGCCCAGAUCCGUCAGAACCGGCAUCUGGUCGGGUGAGUACUGAAUUGAGUGAACUGCCCACAGGUUCCUUGGGCAAGUGGACCGCCUCGCUGUUCUCUGUGUGGGAGGACGUUCGGGUUUUACAAGACACCCGGGAGUGCAGUGCACACACAAAAGCAUGUCGAGAGGGAGCCAGCGCACCGCGCCCUGUGUGGAGAGACCUGUGGCAGCGAGGCUCAGUUAAACUGGCAUGAGAUAAUUCACCAGGGGGAGCGGCCGCACUGCUGCCCACAGUGACCUGGGGCAACUUAAACUGCACAAAAUGUCAAAUGGUCACUGUGGCGAGUCCUGAUGUUCCUCUCCCCGCAAACCGCACUGUCCGCAAGUACGAGACACACACGGGCUUAACUGUGCGCUUCAACUGCGUGAACGUGUACCCAAACGAACAAACGAAACGCGCACAGACAGAGCAGGUAAACAGUUGCCAGUCGCUGUAAUUGCCUACUGCUGUAGAAGCAGGCCAGCUAAAACCCUCCCUCGCCGCCUGCAGAUGGCGCCCUAACCACACCACACCUCCUCAGUCACAAAAUGGAAAGACCUCACGGCUUCUGAGAAACGGUUUCGUUCUCUUAUCAAGCUCCCGUGUCACCGUCAGACUUGCAGGUCCAGACAGGGAGUGCAAAUGCAUCCACUGCUCCAGGGAUUUCAGCCAUCUAAAUGCUUUAAAAGCCCAUAUUAAACUUCACUCUUCUGAGAGACCCUUUGUUUUUGCACAGUGUGUGGGGACAGCUUCAAUCAAGCAGCUUACAAUACCUACGAAGACACCAGCAGGUUCGCAGUGGAGCCCGGCCUUUCUGUUGUGCUUAUUGCGGUCAGCGACUCUGGGAUUCUUGGUGAAAAAUUGUACAGAUGCGCUUGGUGCAACAAAAUGUUUUGGAUAUUUAUACAGUCGAGCUACAUCAGAAGACUAAACUUGCAUUGGUUUAAUAGAUUUUUCUUGUUUAAUAAUACACUUUUAGUUUGGUGUUUACACCACUAGAUGGCGAUCAAACCAUAUUGUCAGGAGGAAUUGCACAAUAAUAUUAAAGAUUCAUUCCUACUCUCUGUCUAGUAUAAUCCUCUCACUGAGAGAAUUGCCACCGAAUUGAUAGCAGAAAAUAAAUGCACUUGUAAUCAGGA